Molecule: non-coding RNA, 85 nt
Organism: Xylaria telfairii
Lineage: Eukaryota; Fungi; Ascomycota; Sordariomycetes; Xylariales; Xylariaceae
Source: the annotation of a GenBank genome assembly
UCCUCCGUGGCGCAAUUGGCUAGCGCGUUCGACUGUUAUGAAACAGAUUAUCGAGAGGUUGACAGUUCAAGCCUGUCCGGGGGAG